AUUGAACGCUGGCGGCAUGCCUUACACAUGCAAGUCGAACGGUAACAGGUCUUCGGAUGCUGACGAGUGGCGAACGGGUGCGUAAUACAUCGGAACGUGCCCAGACGUGGGGGAUAACGGGGCGAAAGCUUUGCUAAUACCGCAUACGAUCUAAGGAUGACAGCAGGGGACCGCAAGGCCUUGCGCGUUUGGAGCGGCCGAUGGCAGAUUAGGUAGUUGGUGGGAUAAAAGCUUACCAAGCCGACGAUCUGUAGCUGGUCUGAGAGGACGACCAGCCACACUGGGACUGAGACACGGCCCAGACUCCUACGGGAGGCAGCAGUGGGGAAUUUUGGACAAUGGGCGAAAGCCUGAUCCAGCAAUGCCGCGUGCAGGAUGAAGGCCUUCGGGUUGUAAACUGCUUUUGUACGGAACGAAAAGGCUCUGGCUAAUACCUGGGGCACAUGACGGUACCGUAAGAAUAAGCACCGGCUAACUACGUG
This 482-nucleotide ribosomal RNA is filed under the name uncultured bacterium. RNAcentral describes it as "partial 16S ribosomal RNA". It matches the Rfam family "Bacterial small subunit ribosomal RNA", at positions 30 to 507 of the family's 1533-position model. The record is from RNAcentral.